UACGUAGGGGGCAAGCGUUGUCCGGAAUCAUUGGGCGUAAAGCGCGUGUAGGCGGCUCGGUAAGUCCGCUCUGAAAGUCCAGGGCUCAACCCUGGGAUGCGGGUGGAUACUGCCGGGCUCGAGUCCGGAAGAGGCGAGUGGAAUUCCCGGUGUAGCGGUGAAAUGCGCAGAUAUCGGGAGGAACACCAAUGGCGAAGGCAGCUCGCUGGGACGUGACUGACGCUGAGACGCGAAAGCGUGGGGAGCAACAGGG
Molecule: ribosomal RNA, 253 nt
Filed under: uncultured bacterium
Lineage: Bacteria
Description: partial 16S ribosomal RNA
Rfam family: Bacterial small subunit ribosomal RNA
Source: RNAcentral